CAAAACUUUCGAAGUGUAGUGAAAUGUUACGAUAUUGCAAAUGCAGAAAGGAAAGAGCACCGAAGGUUUCGUGAAGGCUUGAACGCACGAUCGGUAGUCUUCGUGAGCUGCUACAAGGAUCUGUUGGUAGACCGAGGUAACCAGGAGAACCUAGACAGAAGCAUCCCAAAGGAGACACAAGUAUGCCAGCGGUAUCCCAGAGCAGAGCGGGGACAGCAGAGUCUUCGCCAAGUCGAAAAACUGGCCCACAAGCAGCAAAGUGAACUUCUGCCAGAAACUCUCCGGUACAGCUCGACACCUACAUUAAUGCGCUUCUGUUUACAUACAUGCAAAAGAAAACCGAACAAACUGCUGGCAACGGAGAGCACGUGGAUGGAGUAAAAUGUGUUGUUAUUAAGUAUUCCUAGAAAGCAAGGGUUCAAAUAAAUAAGGUUCUCCGCAUUUCUUGUCA
RNAcentral lists this long non-coding RNA (451 nucleotides) under Scleropages formosus (Asian bonytongue). RNAcentral's name for it is "lncRNA (ENSSFOG00015027294.1)". The record is from RNAcentral. Lineage: Eukaryota; Metazoa; Chordata; Actinopteri; Osteoglossiformes; Osteoglossidae.